This 484-nucleotide ribosomal RNA is filed under the name uncultured bacterium. RNAcentral describes it as "bacterial SSU rRNA". It matches the Rfam family "Bacterial small subunit ribosomal RNA", at positions 43 to 524 of the family's 1533-position model. The record is from RNAcentral.
CAGGCCUAACACAUGCAAGUCGGACGGGAUAAGGGAGCUUGCUUCCUUUGAGAGUGGCGCACGGGUGCGUAACACGUAUGUAACCUACCUUUACCAGGGGGAUAGCCUCUCGAAAGAGAGAUUAACACCGCAUAACAUCAGAUUAUAGCAUUAUAGACUGAUCAAAUAUUUAUAGGGUAAAGAUGGGCAUGCGGAACAUUAGCUAGAUGGCGGGGUAACGGCCCACCAUGGCGACGAUGUUUAGGGGAUCUGAGAGGAUGGCCCCCCACACUGGUACUGAGACACGGACCAGACUCCUACGGGAGGCAGCAGUAAGGAAUAUUGGUCAAUGGGCGGAAGCCUGAACCAGCCAUGCCGCGUGCAGGAAGACGGCCCUACGGGUUGUAAACUGCUUUUAUACGGGAAUAAACCCUGAUAUGUAUAUCAGGCUGAAUGUACUGUAAGAAUAAGGAUCGGCUAACUCCGUGCCAGCAGCCGCGGUAAU